Molecule: ribosomal RNA, 507 nt
Filed under: uncultured bacterium
Lineage: Bacteria
Description: SSU rRNA
Rfam family: Bacterial small subunit ribosomal RNA
Source: RNAcentral
AGGACGAACGCUGGCGGCGUGCCUAACACAUGCAAGUGGAGCGACGAACCAGGCUUCGGCCUGGGGCAGAGCCGCGAACGGGUGAGUAACACGUGGGUAACCUGCCCUGAUGAUUGGGACAACCCGAGGAAACUCGGGCUAAUACCGAAUGUGCCCUCCGGCCUCAAGGCCGCUGGGGAAAGGAAGCUUCGGCCUCCGCAUCGGGAUGGGCCCGCGGCCCAUUAGCUUGUUGGUGAGGUAACGGCUCACCAAGGCAACGAUGGGUAGCUGGUCUGAGAGGACGAUCAGCCACACUGGGACUGAGACACGGCCCAGACUCCUACGGGGGGCAGCAGUGGGGAAUCUUGCGCAAUGCGCGAAAGCGUGACGCAGCAACGUCGCGUGGGGGAAGAGGCUUUCGGGUUGUAACCCCUUUCAGUUGGGACGAGCUUCUUCGGUGAAUAGCCGAACGGAGUGACGGUACCUUCACAAGAAGCACCGGCUAACUCGUGCCAGCAGCCGCGGUAA